This 1449-nucleotide ribosomal RNA is filed under the name uncultured Bordetella sp. Its description in RNAcentral is "partial 16S-23S ribosomal RNA intergenic spacer". It matches the Rfam family "Bacterial small subunit ribosomal RNA". The record is from RNAcentral. Lineage: Bacteria; Pseudomonadati; Pseudomonadota; Betaproteobacteria; Burkholderiales; Alcaligenaceae.
GGUUUGGAUCCGGCUCAGAUUGAACGCUGGCGGGAUGCUUUACACAUGCAAGUCGAACGGCACGACUUCGGUCUGGUGGCGAGUGGCGAACGGGUGAGUAAUGUAUCGGAACGUGCCUAGUAGCGGGGGAUAACUACGCGAAAGCGCUAAUACCGCAUAUUGCCCUUCGGGGGAAAGCGGGGGGACCUUCGCCUCGCACUAUUAGGGAGCGGCUGAUAUCGGAUUAGCUAGCGGUGGGGCACCGCUCACUAAGGUUAAUGAUCCGCAGCCGGGUUUGAGAGGACGACCAGCCAUCGGGACUGAGACACGGGCCCAGAUCUUCACGGAGUGCGCAGUGGGGAAUUUUGGACAAUGGGGAAACCUGAUCCAGCCAUCCCGCGUGUGCGAUGAAGGCUCUCGGGUUGCAAAGCACUUGGCAGGAAAGAAACGGCACGGAUACCCUGUGCAACUGACGGCACUCUGCAGAAUGCUAACGCUAACUACGCCAGCAGCCGCGGUAAUACGUAGGGUGCAAGCGUUAAUCGGAAUUACUGGGCGUAAAGCGUACGCAGGCGGUUCGGAAAGAAAGAUGUGAAAUCCCAGAGCUUAACUUUGAAAUCCAGACGGACCAACAUUUUGAGCAGUCAGAGGGAGGUGAAUUCCAAGUGUGUAAAGAGCAAAUGCGUAGAUAUGCGGAGGAACACUGAUGGCGAAGGCAGCCUCCCUGGGAUAACACUGACGCUCGACAACAGCGUGGGGAGCAAACAGGAUUAGAUACCCAGUCCACGCCCUUAAAACGAUGUCAACUAGCUGUUGGGGCCUUCGGGCCUUGGUAGCGCAGCUAACGCGUUGACCGCCUGGGGAGUACGGUCGCAAGAUUAAAACCAAAGGAAUUGACGGGGACCGCACAAGCGGUGGAUGAUGAUUACUCCGAUGCAACGCGAGAAACCUUACCUACCCUUGACAUGGUCUGAAUCCGAAGAGAUUUGGGAGUGCUCGCAGAGAACCGGAACACAGGUGCUGCAUGGCUGUCGUCAGCUCGUGUCGUGAGAUGUUGGGUUAAGUCCCGCAACGAGCGCAACCCUUGUCAUUAGUUACGAAAGUGGCACCUUAACGACUGCCGGUGACAAACCGGAGGAAGGUGGGGAUGAGGUCAAGUCCUCAUGGCCCUUAUGGGUAGGGCUUCACACGUCAUAAUGGCCGGACACAGAGGGUCGCCAAUCCGCGAGGGGGAGCCAAUCCCAGAAACCCGAUCGUAGGUCCGGAUCGCAGUCUGCAACUCGACUGCGUGAAGUCGGAAUCGCUAGUAAUCGCGGAUCAGCAUGUCGCGGUGAAUACGUUCCCGGGUCUUGUACACGCCCGCCCGUCAUACUCCAUGGGAGUGGUUUUACCAGAAGUAGUUAGCCUAACCGUAAAGGAGGGCGAUUACCACGGUAGGAUUCAUGACUGGGGAAGUCGUAAACAAGGUAA